AAGAUGAGGGAAUCAAUUGCACAUUGGUUGAUGGCAACUAAGCAACCAUUUACCACUGUUGGAGAUGAGAUGUUUGUAUACAUGAUGAAGAUGGCAAAUCCAUUGUUUGAGAGGAUAAGUAGGAAUACAAUAAAGGCGGAUUGCUUUAAGGUAUAUGAUCACGAGAAAAAAAACUGAAAGACCAUGUAAAAGAAGCCUCGAAUAUUUGUUUAACAACUGAUUGCUGGAAGUCAUCUCAUCAGAAAACCGAGUAUAUGGUUAUCAAGUUUAAAGACGUUUUCCCAAGAUAUGCAGAAUACGAACCUCAUUUUAAACAUUUGCCUACCGAGGAAGAUUGGAAAAAUGUG
This is a long non-coding RNA of Helianthus annuus (common sunflower), 347 nucleotides long. RefSeq lists it as uncharacterized. Lineage: Eukaryota; Viridiplantae; Streptophyta; Magnoliopsida; Asterales; Asteraceae. The record is from RefSeq and is a predicted model, not a curated record. The transcript is spliced from 2 exons.